This 253-nucleotide ribosomal RNA is filed under the name uncultured bacterium. RNAcentral's name for it is "partial 16S ribosomal RNA". It matches the Rfam family "Bacterial small subunit ribosomal RNA", at positions 524 to 776 of the family's 1533-position model. The record is from RNAcentral.
UACGGAGGGUGCAAGCGUUGUCCGGAUUUAUUGGGUUUAAAGGGUGCGUAGGCGGCCUUUUAAGUCAGUGGUGAAAGCCCAUAGCUCAACUAUGGAACUGCCAUUGAUACUGAAAGGCUUGAGUACAGACGAGGUUGGCGGAAUGGAUGGUGUAGCGGUGAAAUGCAUAGAUACCAUCCAGAACUCCGAUUGCGUAGGCAGCUCGCUGGGACGUGACUGACGCUGAGACGCGAAAGCGUGGGGAGCAAACAGG